AUGCCAAUCAAAAGGACUUUGGUUAGGGUCUAGGUUACUUAUGAAAUUAAAAAGUCUUUGGAAUUUUAUCUCAACAGAUGGAAUCGCCUCUCACCUCUCUCUCUCUGUGAUGCAUAAGAGUUCCAUAAGUAGCAGAGGAAACUAUAUUUAAGGGGAUUAUUUUUUAUACAAGAAUUAAAAGCAAAAUGAGGAUCAGAGUUGGAGGGAGUUCAAGAGUAACAUGAAAGCAUAACAAAAGGGAAGCAUCAUGGUGAGUCAACAUAAGCACCGAUCAUGACUUCUUCGAGCAGUGAACCAAAGUCGCUCUUCUUCGUGGACAAGUCCAGGUACCUCAUUCAUACCUUUGUUUUUUUUGUUUUUUGUUUCGAGUGACAUAAUUGCCUUUUUUCGCAGCUGAUAAUAACACAUCCAUAAUGACACACUGCGACAGACUUAUUCUGAAACAUAAGUCUAUUGUUUUGAUGGAUUGUUUUAGUAUUCUUAAUAUCUUCCUUCAUAUUAAGCUUUUUAGUUGUUUUCGUCUUUUUUUGUUGUUGUUAUUUUUUUGUUUUUUGUUGUUGUUGUAAAUGCAGAUCCAAUUUGCUGCAUGAGGCUUCCAAAGAAGAUAGUAGCAAGAGAGCAUAAAAUUGCUGCAGGAGGAGGUUCAUGUACAAGCAGUAGCUAAAAGGAUUUCAUGAUCUUAAUUUAAUUGUCAUGAACUUUUUGUUUUUUCGUUUCCUUUUUCAAUGGUUGCAAUACUAGCUUCAAUUACUAUAUUUUGGUGUAAAGAGUUUUGUUUUAAAUAAAGACUUAUUCAAUUGCAUCUGUUCCAAAUUCGGUUCAGUGGUUAACUAUGAUAAUUGUUAUCAAUAAAUACAAAGAGGAAUUUAAAU
Molecule: long non-coding RNA, 872 nt
Organism: Prunus persica (peach)
Lineage: Eukaryota; Viridiplantae; Streptophyta; Magnoliopsida; Rosales; Rosaceae
Exons: 2
Source: RefSeq, a predicted model, not a curated record